UGCCGAAUUUAUUUCCCAAGUGGAUUUAAUUGAUAUAUUUUCGCCAUUUAUUCAACACCCACAUAUCAUCAUUCGACUUCCAACAACAGAUAUAAAUCCGUAACGAGAUGCACAAGAUCAUUUUUUUUUUUGUAACCGAAUCAUCUUAAGAGCCGGUGCAACCAAAAUUGUGACCAGCAAUGGACGAUAUACAGUUUUGGGUUGCAACAAGUGCCAAACGAAGGCGGUUAGUGAAGCAGGCGACUAUGAAUGCACCAGGUGUGAACUCAAGGUCGCAGAACCUAUACACAGAUCUAAAGCAAAGGAAUCUAAAGCAAAGGAGGCUAACAAAGGAAAAUCUAAAGAUGCUGUCACUAAGAAAAGAAAGAAGGAUAGUCUUGAUACUCCUAAUCUCUGCCUCUUCGAGGGAAAAACAAAAAGCGUUUGGGUGCUAAUACAAGAGGGGAAAUUUGGGAGAGUGGUCGUGAUCGUAGUAAAACCGGAGCUGUUGAGGAGGAAGAUGAGAAAGAUGAGCAAGAUGAGCAAAAGGAAAGUGAGGAGGAAGAUAAUGAGAUUGAACCAACUCAAUUAGAAAUCCAAAGCCAAAGAGUAGUGGAACAAGGUGGUCCAAGUCAACAACCCACACAAGGAAAGGUGAAAGGCAAAGGCAAAGGAAAAGUAAAAGUUAAAGGUUCGCACCUUCUUCAUGUUGAUGACAUGAUGCCCGACCUUGAUCGUGGUAUAAUUUGGGGCAGCUUCUUAAUAUCCAGGGCAUCUAUUUGUCUACAAGCACUCGUGGGCUCGUACU
Molecule: long non-coding RNA, 787 nt
Organism: Papaver somniferum (opium poppy)
Lineage: Eukaryota; Viridiplantae; Streptophyta; Magnoliopsida; Ranunculales; Papaveraceae
Exons: 4
Source: RefSeq, a predicted model, not a curated record